GAUAGCUCAGCUGGUUGACCGUGAGACUCUUAAUCUUAGGGUCGUGGGUUCAAGCCCCAUAAAAUCG
This is a non-coding RNA of Podarcis lilfordi (Lilford's wall lizard), 67 nucleotides long. The record is from the annotation of a GenBank genome assembly. NCBI's taxonomy places the organism in Eukaryota, Metazoa, Chordata, Lepidosauria, Squamata, Lacertidae.